This 439-nucleotide ribosomal RNA is filed under the name Serratia sp. Dr7. Its description in RNAcentral is "bacterial SSU rRNA". It matches the Rfam family "Bacterial small subunit ribosomal RNA", at positions 59 to 489 of the family's 1533-position model. The record is from RNAcentral. Lineage: Bacteria; Pseudomonadati; Pseudomonadota; Gammaproteobacteria; Enterobacterales; Yersiniaceae.
CAGUCGAGCGGUAGCACAGGGAGCUUGCUCCUGGGUGACGAGCGGCGGACGGGUGAGUAAUGUCUGGGAAACUGCCUGAUGGAGGGGGAUAACUACUGGAAACGGUAGCUAAUACCGCAUAACGUCUACGGACCAAAGUGGGGGACCUUCGGGCCUCAUGCCAUCAGAUGUGCCCAGAUGGGAUUAGCUAGUAGGUGGGGUAAUGGCUCACCUAGGCGACGAUCCCUAGCUGGUCUGAGAGGAUGACCAGCCACACUGGAACUGAGACACGGUCCAGACUCCUACGGGAGGCAGCAGUGGGGAAUAUUGCACAAUGGGCGCAAGCCUGAUGCAGCCAUGCCGCGUGUGUGAAGAAGGCCUUCGGGUUGUAAAGCACUUUCAGCGAGGAGGAAGGGUUCAGUGUUAAUAGCACUGUGCAUUGACGUUACUCGCAGAAGAA